This is a non-coding RNA of Paramuricea clavata, 227 nucleotides long. The record is from the annotation of a GenBank genome assembly. Lineage: Eukaryota; Metazoa; Cnidaria; Anthozoa; Malacalcyonacea; Plexauridae.
UGCACUUUUUGGUAAGAAGAUGUUAAUAAAAGUUGUUCGUCUUUAUGAGGGCUACAACUUUGCUUAAUAUCCUUUUAACAAAUUAUGCGUAUUUAAGGAGAUAGCGCAGCGCAUGCGCAGAACGUAUCUCCUUACCUUUGCACUUUUUGGUAAAAAGAUGUUAACAAAAGUUGUUCGUCAUGAUGAGGGCUACAACUUUCCUUAAUAUCCUUUUAACAAAUUAUGCG